Molecule: ribosomal RNA, 430 nt
Filed under: uncultured archaeon
Lineage: Archaea
Description: bacterial SSU rRNA
Rfam family: Archaeal small subunit ribosomal RNA
Source: RNAcentral
UACCUGCAGCUCAAGUGGUGGCCGUUAUUAUUGGGCCUAAAACGUCCGUAGCCGGUUUAUUAAAUGCCUGGGUAAAUCGGGCCGCUUAACGGUUCGAAUUCCGGGUAGACUGAUAGACUUGGGACCGGGAGAAGCUAGAGGUACUCCUGGGGUAGAGGUGAAAUUCUGUAAUCCUAGGGGGACCACCAGUGGCGAAGGCGUCUAGCUAGAACGGGUCUGACGGUGAGGGACGAAGCCCUGGGGCGCAAACCGGAUUAGAUACCCGGGUAGUCCGAGGGUGUAAACGCUGCUUGCUUGAUAUUAGUCGGGCUCCGAGCCCGAUUAGUGUCGGAGAGAAGUUGUUAAGCAAGCUGCCUGGGAAGUACGGUCGCAAGACUAGAAACUUAAAGGAAUUGGCGGGGAGCACAGCAACGGGUGGAGCGUGCGGUUU